AUGAACGCUGGCGGCGUGCCUAAUACAUGCAAGUCGAGCGAACAGACGAGGAGCUUGCUCCUCUGACGUUAGCGGCGGACGGGUGAGUAACACGUGGAUAACCUACCUAUAAGACUGGGAUAACUUCGGGAAACCGGAGCUAAUACCGGAUAAUAUAUUGAACCGCAUGGUUCAAUAGUGAAAGACGGUUUUGCUGUCACUUAUAGAUGGAUCCGCGCCGCAUUAGCUAGUUGGUAAGGUGACGGCUUACCAAGGCAACGAUGCGUAGCCGACCUGAGAGGGUGAUCGGCCACACUGGAACUGAGACACGGUCCAGACUCCUACGGGAGGCAGCAGUAGGGAAUCUUCCGCAAUGGGCGAAAGCUUGACGGAGCAACGCCGCGUGAGUGAUGAAGGUCUUCGGAUCGUAAAACUCUGUUAUUAGGGAAGAACAAAUGUGUAAGUAACUAUGCACGUCUUGACGGUACCUAAUCAGAAAGCCACGGCUAACUACGUG
This 496-nucleotide ribosomal RNA is filed under the name uncultured bacterium. Its description in RNAcentral is "partial 16S ribosomal RNA". It matches the Rfam family "Bacterial small subunit ribosomal RNA", at positions 29 to 507 of the family's 1533-position model. The record is from RNAcentral.